Long non-coding RNA from Cebus imitator (Panamanian white-faced capuchin), 2520 nucleotides. RefSeq lists it as uncharacterized. The transcript has 2 exons. The record is from RefSeq and is a predicted model, not a curated record. NCBI's taxonomy places the organism in Eukaryota, Metazoa, Chordata, Mammalia, Primates, Cebidae.
AGAAUUAUUUUCCCUCUCCCCCUCCCAACAGCUACCCUUCCCCCUUCGAUCCCCUCCCUUGUAGGAUUUUUUUUUUUUUUUUUUCCUGAAAGGCGGGUGAGGUGGGUUCAAUAUCUGUUCUCCCUAGUGAGAGGAAUACAGCCUCUAGAGAAAACUUCUCCUUGCAGACGAGGUUUGCUCAGCUCCAGGGGAAGUAGCAUCCCUGUAGCACAAGCACAAAUGCUCAGCCAGGUCCCUUCAGGCACCGAGAAAUUAUCCGGGAUACCCAAGCCGACUUUUGAGCAAGCAGAUCCCAUGAAAAGUGCAGUCCCUCUGGCCAGCCCCAAGCGAAAAUCUCGCCGGCGAGAAGACCAGAAAACCAGAAAGGCGAGGAGCGGCAGACGCUGACCCUGCCUUCCUCCAGCCCGUGCAGUCAGCGCCGGCGUCAGGGCAAAAAAAUAUAUUCAUGUUCAUUUUCCUCUCUCUGGGGCACUGGUGAGUUUCCUAACAGGGCCGCCUGUGAAAGGAUGAGUUGAGGUUUCUUUGUCUGGAAAAGAGUUUAGGGCUUUGAUUCAGCUGCAAAGAAGCCAAAUGAAGUUAGAAACAAAGGGUAAAUUGAAGGAUUCCGACUCUUGGCUUUUUGUGUUUUCCUUACUAGAAAAUAAUUAGACCUAAUGAAUAUGCAGACGCUUCAGCUAAGCCCUCGGCCAGGGCUGCUGAGUUUUAAACAGAGCUGCGGAGAAAUGCAACCUUCAGCCCCACAACCCCCCGCAUCCGCGAGCAUUUUUUUGAAAUGCAUAAAUGUUGCUUGGCUUAAUUGAUUGAGUCACAGGGAUUUUUUUUUUUUCCUGCUUUUAAGUACCAUACUCCCCUACCUUUCAACAAUCAUUUUAAUAUAUAGUCAAUGGCUCUUUGUGGACGGGACAAAAAGAAAGUACGCGCAGUUGUUGAAUAGACUUUGCGCUAGGCAAAGACAGGUUAAUCGAGGGCCGCAUCGCGAAAACAAGCGAGUGUUGUAUGUUUGCACUGAAUCCAAAUGUCUGCAUUUUCCUAACUAAAUCAAAGGGAGUGUUAUUUCUUUUUCUGUUCACUCAUCUGAAGGUAAGUAAAUUUUCUCUGGCGAUCAAAAGCCUGGUCGGCAACAAAGACCGCGCCCGCUUUUUCCACCGUCCUGGUGUGGCGAGUUGCGGAAUUUCAAUAACUGUGACAAGGGUGACUGAUUUGUGAACUAGAAAAGGUUUGAAUGUCACAAAAUUUACAUUGGUCCUAUCUAUUGGGGAUUUAAAUACCAAAAAAGUAUUCGGGGAUCUCUAGGGAGCUUUGGGCAGCCCAAGGGAACAAUGGCGCAUUGGGAAAUUUACAGUUUUACCUGAAUGAAAGGGGCCCAAGUAGGGAACAGGAGACCAGAGAGAAAGAGUUAGCGGGGGCAGUCGAGGGAGACAAGGGAAAGAGAGAAAAGAGAAAAAUAAGGCAAGAGAGGGAAAAAGAAAAGGAAAUUGUCAACAACGUUUCAAAUUUGCCAUUAAAAAAUUCCAACCUCAAUAACCUGGGAACUUAAGCGCUUUCAUCCACGUGUGUGUGUGUGUGUGUGUGUGUGUGUGUGUGUGUGUGUGUUUGGGGGUGCGGUGGUGCAGGAAGUCUGAUUAGAUAAAAGCGAGAAUACAGAGGCUACCGGUUACACUGAGAAAUUGCAUUUCUUGUAAAGAGAGCAUAGUGCCCGUGUGCUCCCAAGAUCUUAAAUUAUAAACAGGAGGGGGACUAAGCAAGAGGGAAACAAACUUCAAAAGGAGCAAAUAACAAAAGCCUUUUUUGCUGCCCUUGAAUGGGGGGAAAGGGGGAAGAAAGAAAAGAAAGUUGCUGAAUCGGGACAUUCUGGAAGUGCCUUUGCUGUGUUUACCAGCCCCAUCCCCGCCUCCUGCACAAGGAUACGCCCGAAGUCUCUAAACGCUCAGCGAAGAGUAGGUUUAGGGAAGAACCGCGCGGGGGUGGGGGUGGGGGCAUGGGAGGAGGAGGAGGAAUGCAAACAACUGUGAGAAGGAAAGGAAUCGUGGCAAAAAAAAAAAAAAAAAAUUCCGUGAGAAGAGGGAAAAAAUUUGGCUAAAAAGAAAGUUGCUUCUCCUGGCAGUCCUGGUUUGUCAAAAGGGGAUGUCAAGCGCUUUACAAUACCUGGGAUUGAUGAGGCGGGCGGGCCAAUGAGCUGCGCUCGGCGCCUCGGCGCGCCCUCCGUUGGCGCGGCGGCUGCAGGCGGGGGGAGUGCAGGCGCACCAAUGGGCGCCAGCAUCCGCAGCACGUGACACCUCCCCCUGCUCCCAUUCAUCAAGGGGGGGACGGUGUCGUCCUUUCAAUUCAUUUAUCUGCAGGAAUGAUUGCUGCUAUCAGUCUCGCGCUCACCGCCCGGCUGAGGAGGUGAAAGUUUCUCCCCAGGAAGAUAAACCGCAAAAGACAAUAUUGUGCAUGAUUUGCGCCUUUUCUUUGGCUUUUUCUUUCUUUCUUCUCCCCCCCACCCACUUUUUUUUUUUUUUUUUUUUUUUUUUUUUUUUU